GAUGAAGAACGUAGCGAAAUGCGAUACUUGGUGUGAAUUGCAGAAUCCCGUGAACCAUCGAGUCUUUGAACGCAAGUUGCGCCCGAAGCCAUCAGGUUGAGGGCACGUCUGCCUGGGCGUCACAUAUCGUUGCCCAAUGCCUAUUGCAGUGCAAUAGGAAUUUCUAGGGCGAAUGAUGGCUUCCCGUGAGCGUUGUUGCCUCGCGGUUGGUUGAAAAUCGAGUCCUUGGUAGGGUGUGCCAUGGUAGAUGGUGGUCGAGUUAGAACGAUACCGAUCAUGUGCAUGCUCCCCAAAAUAUGGCCUCUAUGACCCACACGCGUCUUUUGACGCUCAUGACGAGACCUCAGGUCAGGCGGGGCUACCCGCUGAAUUUAAGCAUAUCAAUAGCGAGGA
Molecule: unclassified non-coding RNA, 393 nt
Filed under: soil metagenome
Description: partial contains 5.8S ribosomal RNA, internal transcribed spacer 2, and large subunit ribosomal RNA
Rfam family: 5.8S ribosomal RNA (bases 1-122)
Source: RNAcentral